Non-coding RNA from Solenopsis invicta (red fire ant), 137 nucleotides. The record is from Rfam. Lineage: Eukaryota; Metazoa; Arthropoda; Insecta; Hymenoptera; Formicidae.
AAUUGGCCUUAUCGAAGCUAUGGUGCUUACAAUAGCAUGAGUAUUGUAGUCAAAAAAAGGCCAAUAAUAAAAGUUCUUCAUUUUGGUCACAGAUUGAGUUGUAUAUUCAUUCUGUAUAACCCAAGAAGUGCACAAAA